CAGAGGGUAGUUUAAUUUAGAAUCUUAGCUUUGGG
Molecule: transfer RNA, 35 nt
Filed under: Salvelinus alpinus (Arctic char)
Lineage: Eukaryota; Metazoa; Chordata; Actinopteri; Salmoniformes; Salmonidae
Also listed under: 2 other names
Description: partial tRNA-Pro
Source: RNAcentral